RNAcentral lists this long non-coding RNA (230 nucleotides) under Trifolium pratense (red clover). RNAcentral's name for it is "long non-coding RNA (TPRA_LNC014150)". The record is from RNAcentral. Lineage: Eukaryota; Viridiplantae; Streptophyta; Magnoliopsida; Fabales; Fabaceae.
AAAUUGGAUCAGAUCGGAUUGGAUUUUUUUUAUUUGUCAUCCAAAACCGGACCGAAUCGCAAAUAAAUUUAUUUUUGGAUCAGAUGAAUUUUUACCUCAAAACCGAUCCAAAUCGAACCAUAACAUGUAACAAAAAAAUAAAAAUAUAACGUAACUGAAUACUCCAAUUAAUACGUUUCAUUAAAAAAACACAAAGGUAGCACCUUUAGAAAAGAAAUGGUAGCAAUUAG